CUUCGUUGACACACGCGGAUUUUUUGGAGUAGCAGUGAAUUUUAAUAAAAUUUAACACGUUUUCUGAUAGUUCGCUGAACCUCAAUCGAUUGAAGAAGAAGAAGAAAAAGGAGGUUCCCUGUAUUAUUCGCCCGAAGCUGUCGGUCGACAUCACACGACAUCACUCGACAUCGUUCGGCAUCACUCGACAUCACGUGUGCGCCACUGCGCAAAGAACAAGGAGCCUAGAGAACACGUCAUUACAAGUUACCAUUUCGUUGACACACGUGGAUUUUUUGGAGCGGCAGUGAAAUUUAAUAAAAUAACACGUUUUCUGAUAGUUGGCUGAACUUCAAUUGAUUGAAGAAGAAGAAGAAAAAGAUUUGAAUGGAAAAAAAAGAAGAAAAAAAAGCCCGGUCAUCCAACGAAGCGAUCUCAGAGGUAUAAAGAAGCAAGAAAGGAAUCAAUUAAGUAUUUUAAAAAACAUAUGAAGG
Leptopilina heterotoma is the source of this 473-nucleotide long non-coding RNA. RefSeq lists it as uncharacterized. The record is from RefSeq and is a predicted model, not a curated record. The transcript has 3 exons. NCBI's taxonomy places the organism in Eukaryota, Metazoa, Arthropoda, Insecta, Hymenoptera, Figitidae.